This 699-nucleotide long non-coding RNA is filed under the name Helianthus annuus (common sunflower). RNAcentral's name for it is "hypothetical non coding rna". Lineage: Eukaryota; Viridiplantae; Streptophyta; Magnoliopsida; Asterales; Asteraceae. The record is from RNAcentral.
ACAAACCGAUCACCAAUUCAUUUCCAAGAUUACGAGACCUUCGAACAACUAUAUAAACCGAACCAUCCAUCAUCAUUUGACACCCUUUCACUCACUCACAAACACCCUCUUAUAUCUUGUUAACACCUACUCGUCGGAGUUCGAGGAGGUCACCGGAGAAGAAAGCCUUCGCUGGAGUAACCGAGCAUCGACGGAAACGACCUUUCGCACACCCUCCUCACUGUUACGAGACGUCGUCGCAAGUCGAGAAGCAGCCGGGAUCCUACCGGAGACACCGAGCUCGCCGGGAAACAUCGAAGUUCAAGUCCUUUGUUGUUGUUCGUGUUAUGUUGUUUUGAGCAAUUUGUUCGCCUCAUCUCGAUGUUUCCGCCAUCGGUUGGGGUAAUUAAGGUGUUUGCUUGCUAGGAAAGCGAGGCUAGAAUAAGUUUCUAGAAGCCCCCAACAAAUAGUUGUCCGCCAAGAACAAGCGUCUGGGGCAUAGAGUUGUCUGUAGAUCUUGUCCUCUGGUAAUACAGCCAGAAAGUCAACAGAAUAGGGGUCUAGAAGCAGAUAAACAAUUGCUGUAUUUAUAUUUGAAUCUGAGUUGUCGGAACAGAAUUACUUGUUUGGAUGUUAUCUGUAAUAAUAUAUUUGUUUAUUCGGGAUAUGGUAUGGGACGUAUCUUUAACUGGAUUAUAUGAAUAGUUGUUAUUGAAACUU